This 389-nucleotide long non-coding RNA is filed under the name Physcomitrium patens. RNAcentral describes it as "long non-coding RNA (PPAT_LNC000512)". The record is from RNAcentral. Lineage: Eukaryota; Viridiplantae; Streptophyta; Bryopsida; Funariales; Funariaceae.
UUUGGUUAGGAUUUGAUAUAGGAUUAGGAUUUGGUUCGGAUUUGAUUUAGGAUUAGGAUUUGGUUUAGGAUUUAGGAUUUGGUUAGGAUUUGAUUUAGAAUUUAGGUUUUGAUUAGGAUUUGAUUUAGGAUUAAGAUUUGGUUAGGAUUUAGGAUUUAGUUUAGGAUUUAAGGUUUGAUUUAGGAUUUGGAGUUUGGUUCAGGAUUUAGGUUUUGGUUUAGGAUUUAGGGUUUGAUUUAGGAUCUAAAGUUUUCUUAGGAUUUAAUUUAGGAUUUAGGGUUUGAUUAGGAUUUAAUUUAGGAUUAGAAUUUGAUUAGGACUUGAUUUAGGAUUAGGAUUUGAUUUAGGAUUUGGUUAGGAUUUAAUUUAGGAUUUAGGAUUUGAUUAGU